Molecule: long non-coding RNA, 222 nt
Filed under: Elaeis guineensis (African oil palm)
Lineage: Eukaryota; Viridiplantae; Streptophyta; Magnoliopsida; Arecales; Arecaceae
Description: long non-coding RNA (EGUI_LNC076753)
Source: RNAcentral
CUCCAUCCCAUCCAUCGGAUAGAAAGAUUGACUUUUAACCCCUAAAUCUCUUUCUUUCGACUCAAGCCUAACUACGUGAAGCUUCUAAAUAUAAAAAUUUAAAUCAAGUAAAGAAAUUUAUUAAUACUGCUUGAUUUACCUGCUGUGAUGGCUGUGAUAACGAGCUCAACUGAAUGAGUGACAAGUAACUAAAAUGUUGACCUUUACAUGUGAAUGCCCUCA